Molecule: ribosomal RNA, 256 nt
Filed under: uncultured bacterium
Lineage: Bacteria
Description: partial 16S ribosomal RNA
Rfam family: Bacterial small subunit ribosomal RNA
Source: RNAcentral
GACGUAGGUGGCGAACGUUAUCCGGAAUUAUUGGGCGUAAAGGGUUCGUAGAUGGCUUGAUAAGUUAGCAGUGGGAAAUCGAGGCUCAACCUCGUGGAAGCUGGUAAUACUGUCAGGCUCGAGUGCAGGAGAGGUUAACGGAACUCCAUGUGGAGCGGUAAAAUGUGUAGAUAUAUGGAAGAACACCAAUAACGGCGAAGGCAGUUAACUAUUCUGUUACUGACAUUGAGGCACGAAAGCGUGGGGAGCAAAACGG